CUUCAUCCAUUUACCUCAAGAGGUCAUAAUACCCAGGAAAUGCCCCAUGCUGGGGUCAUUAUUGAUAAUAUGAACUGAACACACAUGCUCUGUGGUCAAGUUUAGCCCCGGAGUAAAUGGGUGCAACUCUGCUGACUCCAAGGCAAUUCUGAAAUUGACCAUUUUUUCCAGCACGAACCGUGAAGUCUAUCCAGCCAGAGUCCAUGAAAGAACAACAAAGGCCGAGGCAUCAUGUGGAUAAAGUUACAGACUGAUUAUAAUUCAUGUGAUGAUAUUUUAUUACUGAUGGAACAAAAUGGGAAUAAUUUCUUUGUGUGGACAUUAUUUCCUGUGGCUUUAUGAUACUGGGGUUAUUUUCCCCUGAAACAACAUGGUAGUUUAAUUUGCUUCAAUAGGAAUCUCUAUUUGAAAUGUCCUUUAAAAUAAGUUAUUUAUCCUUCUGGGUUAAUUUUCUUCUUUUUCUUCUCUGUUAGAAUAUUCCAGUUAUUUUGCCAUUAAGCUGCAGGACUUUUAUGUCAUCCCAGGAAAGUUUAUUUGGAAAAAUAUCUUAGGGGUGGUAGAUUUAUUAGCCAGAUAUGUUUUAGGGAAUUCAGCUAACAAUGAGCCAAGCCAGUUCUUUCUCAAGGAUUCAGGUCCUUCUGAUUGAGUGAGGCAGUGGAGAGUGAAGGCAGAGAGGCCCAAGGUUAGGGAGGAUAUUUUGUGCUUGAAAGUACAACUUACUGCCACUGUGUAAUGCCCUGUUAUCCCAGAGAGCUGCAGUGUUGGGAACACCUACUGCCACUGUAGUCAUAUAAAUAACAAUAUGCUGUACUUACAUGGGGCCUUUCACCCUGAAAGGUUCCUCUACACAUUCUGGAAACUCUGGGCCUGAUUCUCCUCAGAUCAGAUUCUGACUGAGAUUCUGCAACCAGUUUUACAAUACUAACUCCAUUGCCCUCAGUAAAUUAAUUCCUAAUAUACACCAAUGAACAAGAGAGAAGAAUAGAUCCCCAGCCCGCACCUCGCUCUCUACCUCUCUCAUAGCCAACACUAAGGGACACCUUAAGGCCCCAGUUCAGU
Molecule: long non-coding RNA, 1059 nt
Organism: Chelonia mydas (Green sea turtle)
Lineage: Eukaryota; Metazoa; Chordata; Testudines; Cheloniidae
Exons: 3
Source: RefSeq, a predicted model, not a curated record